AAGAGUCCGGGUCUGCGGUUGCAAGUCCAGGCCAGCUAUGGGCAAAAGGAUCCACGUAAGCCGUCAGCAAAGAUCUGCGGUGAUCAUGGCAUAGCUUAGAUGUAAGUCCUCGGAAAAAUUCCGGCAAAGGCAAGUGUGGGGUCAAAGACCGGGUCAGCCGGCGCGU
This 166-nucleotide non-coding RNA is filed under the name unclassified sequences. RNAcentral's name for it is "raiA RNA". It matches the Rfam family "raiA RNA". The record is from Rfam by way of RNAcentral.